CAGUAGCCACGGUAAUACGGAGGGUGCAAGCGUUAAUCGGAAUUACUGGGCGUAAAGCGCACGCAGGCGGUCUGACAAGUCAGAUGUGAAAUCCCCGGGCUUAACCUGGGAACUGCAUUUGAAACUGUCAGGCUGGAGUCUUGUAGAGGGGGGUAGAAUUCCAGGUGUAGCGGUGAAAUGCGUAGAGAUCUGGAGGAAUACCGGUGGCGAAGGCGGCCCCCUGGACAAAGACUGACGCUCAGGUGCGAAAGCGUGGGGAGCAAACAGGAUUAGAUACCCCGGUAGUCCCUGUCUCUUAUAU
Molecule: ribosomal RNA, 301 nt
Filed under: uncultured bacterium
Lineage: Bacteria
Description: partial 16S ribosomal RNA
Rfam family: Bacterial small subunit ribosomal RNA
Source: RNAcentral